AGAGUUUGAUCCUGGCUCAGGAUGAACGCUGGCGGCAUGCCUAAUACAUGCAAGUCGAACGAGAGGAAGGAAAGCUUGCUUUCCUGAAUCUAGUGGCGAACGGGUGAGUAACACGUAGGUAACCUGCCCAUGUGCCCGGGAUAACUUCUGGAAACGGAUGCUGAAACCGGAUAGGUAGCAGACAAGCAUUUGACUGCUAUUAAAGUGGCCUUGGCCAUGAACAUGGAUGGACCUGCGGUGCAUUGGCUGGUUGGUGAGGUAACGGCCCACCAAGGCGACGAUGCAUAGCCGGCCUGAGAGGGCGGACGGCCACAUUGGGACUGAGACACGGCCCAAACUCCUACGGGAGGCAGCAGUAGGGAAUUUUCGUCAAUGGGGGAACCCUGAACGAGCAAUGCCGCGUGAGUGAGGAAGGUCUUCGGAUCGUAAAGCUCUGUUGUAAGAGAAAAACGGCACUCAUAGGGAAUGAUGAGUGAGUGAUGGUAUCUUACCAGAAAGUCACGGCUAACUACGUGCCAGCAGCCGCGGUAAUACGUAGGUGGCGAGCGUUAUCCGGAAUGAUUGGGCGUAAAGGGUGCGUAGGUGGCAGAUCAAGUCUGGAGUAAAAGGUAUGGGCUCAACCCGUACUGGCUCUGGAAACUGAUCAGCUAGAGAACAGAAGAGGACGGCGGAACUCCAUGUGUAGCGGUAAAAUGCGUAGAUAUAUGGAAGAACACCGGUGGCGAAGGCGGCCGUCUGGUCUGGAUUCUGACACUGAAGCACGAAAGCGUGGGGAGCAAAUAGGAUUAGAUACCCUAGUAGUCCACGCCGUAAACAAUGAGAACUAGGUGUUGGGGGAAUAACUCAGUGCCGCAGUUAACGCA
This 863-nucleotide ribosomal RNA is filed under the name uncultured bacterium. RNAcentral's name for it is "bacterial SSU rRNA". It matches the Rfam family "Bacterial small subunit ribosomal RNA", at positions 8 to 859 of the family's 1533-position model. The record is from RNAcentral.